AGAGUUUGAUCCUGGCUCAGAUUGAACGCUGGCGGCAUGCUUUACACAUGCAAGUCGAACGGUAACGCGGGGGCAACCCUGGCGACGAGUGGCGAACGGGUGAGUAAUACAUCGGAACAUGUCCUGGAGUGGGGGAUAGCUCGGCGAAAGCCGGAUUAAUACCGCAUACGCUCUGAGGAGGAAAGCGGGGGACCGAAAGGCCUCGCGCUGCGGGAGUGGCCGAUGUCGGAUUAGCUAGUUGGUGAGGUAAAGGCUCACCAAGGCGACGAUCCGUAGCUGGUCUGAGAGGAUGAUCAGCCACACUGGGACUGAGACACGGCCCAGACUCCUACGGGAGGCAGCAGUGGGGAAUUUUGGACAAUGGGGGCAACCCUGAUCCAGCCAUGCCGCGUGAGUGAAGAAGGCCUUCGGGUUGUAAAGCUCUUUCGGACGGAACGAAACGGUUGCGGUGAAUAUCCGCGACUAAUGACGGUACCGUAAGAAGAAGCACCGGCUAACUACGUGCCAGCAGCCGCGGUAAUAC
Molecule: ribosomal RNA, 523 nt
Filed under: uncultured Ferribacter sp.
Lineage: Bacteria; Pseudomonadati; Pseudomonadota; Betaproteobacteria; Ferrovales; Ferrovaceae
Description: bacterial SSU rRNA
Rfam family: Bacterial small subunit ribosomal RNA
Source: RNAcentral